This 473-nucleotide ribosomal RNA is filed under the name uncultured bacterium. Its description in RNAcentral is "bacterial SSU rRNA". It matches the Rfam family "Bacterial small subunit ribosomal RNA", at positions 8 to 525 of the family's 1533-position model. The record is from RNAcentral.
AGAGUUUGAUCCUGGCUCAGAACGAACGCUGGCGGCAGGCCUCAAACAUGCAAGUCUAGGGGGUGUAGCAAUACAUCACCGGCGGACGGGUGCGUAACACGUGGGAAUAUACCUUUUGGUUCGGAACAACGCAGGGAAACUUGCGCUAAUACCGAAUGUGCCCUUACGGGGAAAGAUUUAUCGCCAAAGGAUUAGCCCGCGUAGGAUUAGCUAGUUGGUGAGGUAAUGGCUCACCAAGGCUCCGAUCCUUAGCUGUUCUGAGAGGAAGAUCAGCCACACUGGGACUGAGACACGGCCCAGACUCCUACGGGAGGCAGCAGUUGGGAAUCUUGGACAAUGGGGGAAACCCUGAUCCAGCCAUGCCGCGUGAGUGAUGAAGGCCUUCGGGUUGUAAAACUCUUUCGACGGGGACGAUAAUGACGGUACCCGUAGAAGAAGCUCCGGCUAACUUCGUGCCAGCAGCCGCGGUAAUA